This 462-nucleotide ribosomal RNA is filed under the name uncultured bacterium. Its description in RNAcentral is "partial 16S ribosomal RNA". It matches the Rfam family "Bacterial small subunit ribosomal RNA", at positions 339 to 795 of the family's 1533-position model. The record is from RNAcentral.
CUACGGGUGGCACCAGUGGGGAAUAUUGCACAAUGGGCGCAAGCCUGAUGCAGCCAUGCCGCGUGUAUGAAGAAGGCCUUCGGGUUGUAAAGUACUUUCAGCGGGGAGGAAGGGAGUAAAGUUAAUACCUUUGCUCAUUGACGUUACCCGCAGAAGAAGCACCGGCUAACUCCGUGCCAGCAGCCGCGGUAAUACGGAGGGUGCAAGUUAAUCGGAAUUACUGGGCGUAAAGCGCACGCAGGCGGUUUGUUAAGUCAGAUGUGAAAUCCCCGGGCUCAACCUGGGAACUGCAUCUGAUACUGGCAAGCUUGAGUCUCGUAGAGGGGGGUAGAAUUCCAGGUGUAGCGGUGAAAUGCGUAGAGAUCUGGAGGAAUACCGGUGGCGAAGGCGGCCCCCUGGACGAAGACUGACGCUCAGGUGCGAAAGCGUGGGGAGCAAACAGGAUUAGAUACCCGCGUAGUC